GUUUAUGUUGCUUAGUUGGUUAGACCACUUAUUUGUUAAGUUUGAGGUUAUAGGUUCAACUCUUAUUGUUAACA
Molecule: transfer RNA, 74 nt
Organism: Ipomoea nil (Japanese morning glory)
Lineage: Eukaryota; Viridiplantae; Streptophyta; Magnoliopsida; Solanales; Convolvulaceae
Rfam family: tRNA
About the family: Transfer RNA (tRNA) molecules are approximately 80 nucleotides in length. Their secondary structure includes four short double-helical elements and three loops (D, anti-codon, and T loops).
Source: Rfam